Gossypium arboreum is the source of this 842-nucleotide long non-coding RNA. RefSeq lists it as uncharacterized. The record is from RefSeq and is a predicted model, not a curated record. The transcript is spliced from 2 exons. Lineage: Eukaryota; Viridiplantae; Streptophyta; Magnoliopsida; Malvales; Malvaceae.
AAUAAGGGCAAAAUUGGAAAAUUGCCAAAAUUGGCUAAAUAAAAAUGGGACUAAAUUGGAAUAUCUAGAAUUCUCUUCAUUUCUCUUCAUAUUCAUCAGCUGAAAAACAGCCAUGGAGGAGGGUUCAAGCUGGUUUUCAUACUCUAGCUUCAUUUCAGUGACAAGAUGAAUUGAAGGAAAAGACCAUGGUUAGACCAUGGAAACAAGUGAUAAGUGAUAGCUUCGGCUACACUUAUCUGAUCAAGGACAAAUGAAAGUGAUAAGUAAUAACUUCGGCUACACUUAUCUGAUUAAGGACAAGUGAAAGUGAUAAGUGAUAGCUUCGGCUACACUUAUCUGAUCAAUGGCAAAUGGCAAAUGACAACUGAAAAGUGGUAGCUUCAGCUACCUGAUCAGUGAAAAGUGGUAGUUUCAGCUACCUGAUCAGUGAAAAGUGGUAGCUUCUGCUACCUAAUCAGUGAAAAGUGGUAGCUUCGGCUACCUGAUCAGUGAAAAGUGGUAGCUUCGGCUACCUGAUCAGUGAAAAGUGGUAGCUCCGGCUACCUGAUCAGUGAAAAAUGGUAGCACCAGCUACCUGAUCAGUGAAUAGUGGUAGCUUUGGCUACAAGUGACAAGUGACAAGUGACAAGUGAUUUCUGUAUAAGACCAUAUCUGGGAUAUGGCAUCGUUGUGAUAUAUGCUACUGUAUAAGACCAUAUCUGGGAUAUGACAUCAGUGAGAUAUGUGAUUACGUGUAAGACCAUAGCUGGGCUAUGGCAUUAUUAUGUAAAGAUGUGUAAGACCAUAGUUGAACUAUAGCAUCGAAAAAAACGAAGUAUUCAAUUCCGUAAGAUGUUCACUAA